RNAcentral lists this ribosomal RNA (379 nucleotides) under uncultured bacterium. RNAcentral's name for it is "bacterial SSU rRNA". It matches the Rfam family "Bacterial small subunit ribosomal RNA", at positions 521 to 896 of the family's 1533-position model. The record is from RNAcentral.
UAAUACGUAGGGGCCAAGCGUUGUCCGGAAUUAUUGGGCGUAAAGAGCUCGUAGGCGGUUCGGUAAGUUUACUGUGAAAUCUCCACGCUCAACGUGGAGAGGUCAGUGAAUACUGCCGUGACUAGAGUCCGGUAGAGGAGUGUGGAAUUCCCGGUGUAGCGGUGAAAUGCGCAGAGAUCGGGAGGAACACCCGUAGCGAAGGCGGCACUCUGGGCCGUGACUGACGCUGAGGAGCGAAAGCGUGGGGAGCAAACAGGAUUAGAUACCCUGGUAGUCCACGCCGUAAACGUUGGGCACUAGGUGUGGGACUCUAUCGACGGGUUCCGUGCCGUAGCUAACGCAUUAAGUGCCCCGCCUGGGGAGUACGGCCGCAAGGCUA